CCGCCGCGCGCGGCGGGCGGGGCGGGGGGCACGGGGGGCCUACGGGAGGCAGCAGUGAGGAAUAUUGGACAAUGGCCGAGAGGCUGAUCCAGCCAUGCCGCGUGCGGGAGGACGGCCCUAUGGGUUGUAAACCGCUUUUGUUGGGGAGCAAUAAGGUCUACGUGUAGACUGAUGAGAGUACCCAGCGAAUAAGCAUCGGCUAUCUCCGUGCCAGCAGCCGCGGUAAUAAU
Molecule: ribosomal RNA, 230 nt
Filed under: uncultured soil bacterium
Lineage: Bacteria
Description: partial 16S ribosomal RNA
Rfam family: Bacterial small subunit ribosomal RNA
Source: RNAcentral